CAGCCGCCGCGGUAAUACGAAGGGUGCAAGCGUUAAUCGGAAUUACUGGGCGUAAAGCGUGCGUAGGCGGUUUGUUAAGUCUGUUGUGAAAUCCCCGGGCUCAACCUGGGAAUGGCAGUGGAUACUGGCUCGCUAGAGUGUGUCAGAGGAUGGUGGAAUUCCCGGUGUAGCGGUGAAAUGCGUAGAGAUCGGGAGGAACAUCAGUGGCGAAGGCGGCCAUCUGGGACAACACUGACGCUGAGGCACGAAAGCGUGGGGAGCAAACAGGAUUAGAUACCCCGGUAGUCCCUGUCUCUUAUAC
Molecule: ribosomal RNA, 301 nt
Filed under: uncultured bacterium
Lineage: Bacteria
Description: partial 16S ribosomal RNA
Rfam family: Bacterial small subunit ribosomal RNA
Source: RNAcentral